ACGUAGGGAGCGAGCGUUGUCCGGAGUUACUGGGCGUAAAGCGCACGCAGGCGGUCUUUCGCGUUCGUGCCGACAGCGACUCGCCUAACGAGUCGAGGAGUACGGAAACGGGGAGACUUGAGGGCCAGAGAGGGACACGGAACUCCGGGUGGAGUGGUGAAAUGCGUAGAGAUCCGGAAGAACACCAAAGGCGAAGGCAGUGUCCUGGUUGGUACCUGACGCUCAGAGGCGACAGCUAGGGGAGCGAACGGGAUUAGAUACCCCGGUAGUCCUAGCCGUAAACGAUGACCACGAGAUGUCCGGGGGAUCGACCCUCUGGGUGUCGAAGCAAACGCAAUCAGUGGUCCGCCUGGGGAGUACGGUCGCAAGAUUA
Molecule: ribosomal RNA, 373 nt
Filed under: uncultured bacterium
Lineage: Bacteria
Description: bacterial SSU rRNA
Rfam family: Bacterial small subunit ribosomal RNA
Source: RNAcentral